CCUUUGUACACACCGCCCGUCGCUACUACCGAUUGAAUGGCUUAGUGAGGUCUCCGGAUUGUCUUUGGGGAUCCGGCAACGGAACCCCGUUGCUGAGAAGUUGAUCAAACUUGGUCAUUUAGAGG
This 125-nucleotide ribosomal RNA is filed under the name Boletaceae sp. Its description in RNAcentral is "partial small subunit ribosomal RNA". It matches the Rfam family "Eukaryotic small subunit ribosomal RNA", at positions 1657 to 1779 of the family's 1831-position model. The record is from RNAcentral. Lineage: Eukaryota; Fungi; Basidiomycota; Agaricomycetes; Boletales; Boletaceae.